This 76-nucleotide transfer RNA is filed under the name Caudoviricetes sp. RNAcentral's name for it is "tRNA-Thr". It matches the Rfam family "tRNA". From Rfam's summary of the family: Transfer RNA (tRNA) molecules are approximately 80 nucleotides in length. Lineage: Duplodnaviria; Heunggongvirae; Uroviricota; Caudoviricetes. The record is from RNAcentral.
GCUGGUGUAGCUCAGUCGGUAGAGCGAUGGCUUUGUAACCCGUAGGCCGCCGGUUCGAUCCCGGCCACCAGCUCCA